UAAAAAUUAUUGUUUCAUGAUUUAAUUAUUUAAUGUUUAAUAUUGUAUGAGUUUUAGAAUUAGGCAGAGGCAGGAGUUUUGAAGAUCUAAACUCAGGGUAGAGAUGCCCCUGUUUCUGCAGGUCUUGUUAUUAAGCAUUUCUGGAAAUGCUUAUGUCUGAGGAGCAUAGGCUGGGGUAUCCAUGUCUGAAAAUGUUAACUAUUUUAUCUUAUAGUCCUUCCAGAAAACUUAAUUUCCAAUUGAACAGCCAACGCUGCAUAUCGACUGAUGGGAAGUUCUACCACCUGCAAGUGGAAUGUCAACUACCACUCCAAAGGGAAAAAAAAACAGACUGUACUUCUCAGUGGAACGAGGGAAGACACUACUGGUCAAUGAAGUGCAAUCUCCAGGAGACCCAGGGAUCAGCUAAUGAUGAGACACUCUCUCCAAUGGCAUUUAUCCUACACAAGUCUGCAGGGCCAUAAGCACAUCCUUUUCCCAAGGGGUUGCUGCCUGGGCUCAAGGCUGAUUUUGGCAGAGCAGCUUUCCAGCCUUGAAGCUGUAUAAGAGAGUUAUCUGACAUACGUUGAUGGGGGAUCAAGCCUGUCACUCAGGAGCUGCCUUUAAGCUGAAGGUCUGACCCUUGCUCUCUGCCUGAGCUUCAUCGCAGCCAUAUGUCUGGACAAAUACCCUGUUGAUCCAGACCCUAACCCGUGGACUGACUUCUUAGCCAGACCUGCCUUCUCGCUAUGGAUGUACCUGGAGAUCUGAACUCCUGGAUGAACCUGGUUACUCUCACUGGACUUACUCUGCUCUUCUUGCUCAGGUUCUGUGAUAUGAUUCCCUUGUUGGUGAGGCCACAACAAGCACUCAGCAUGAGUUACCAAGCAAAUAACUCUUUGGUGAAAAUGAUUCAAGUAGGAUUUUUUAAAUGCUUUUGGAUAUUUAUAAUGUUUUCCAUAAGUAAGGAAAAAUAUAAAGUUAUGAAUUAUGGUAACUGAAAUCACUGCUUGUGUUUAUGAAAGCACUCAAAAAAGUAGUUUUUCUCUUGUUUACCCAGCUAUAAAGUUGUAAGGCAGUUUGCCUGGUGACAGUAAAGGUGAGAUAGUUGUCAGUAAUCAAGGCCAGAAAACACUGUGUUCUUAUAUAGAUUAACAGGAAAUUGUUUUUAUCUUCAACCUCUUCUGAUGGCACUGAUCAGUUGAAGUCAGUGGCACAAAAGUUUGGAAGUGCAGCUGCAAGGAACUGAUUCAAGAAUUUUGGCUUCUGGAUCUCUCUCUCUGUCAUCAGCAGAGAAAGAUCCCUUGGGCUUAGACUCACUGCCAGAGGUGUCAGCUGGUAGAGAAAAUAUUGGUUUUACAAUAACUGCUGAAGCAUGAAGUGGCUGGUAGCAGUAGCAGCAGCUGCCCAGAAAGGGAAGUACGCAUCCUUAUUGCAAAAUAGUGAAGAGGUGACGUGGCAGGAUCCUCUGUUGCUGGGAACCCA
This 1464-nucleotide long non-coding RNA is filed under the name Struthio camelus australis. Its description in RNAcentral is "lncRNA (ENSSCUG00000000641.1)". The record is from RNAcentral. Lineage: Eukaryota; Metazoa; Chordata; Aves; Struthioniformes; Struthionidae.